This is a non-coding RNA of Dipodomys ordii (Ord's kangaroo rat), 45 nucleotides long. NCBI's taxonomy places the organism in Eukaryota, Metazoa, Chordata, Mammalia, Rodentia, Heteromyidae. The record is from Rfam.
UUUAAGGUUUUAUUUAAAACCACAAAUUUGAUUUAAAACAUAUUU